AGGUAAACACAAAGGAAAAGCUUCUAACUUAAUCCUAUAGCAGUGAAAUUCUGUUAGUACCUCU
This 64-nucleotide transfer RNA is filed under the name Trogoderma variabile. RNAcentral describes it as "tRNA-Ser". The record is from RNAcentral. Lineage: Eukaryota; Metazoa; Arthropoda; Insecta; Coleoptera; Dermestidae.